AUUGAACGCUGGCGGCAUGCCUUACACAUGCAAGUCGAACGGCAGCACGGGAGCAAUCCUGGUGGCGAGUGGCGAACGGGUGAGUAAUAUAUCGGAACGUGCCCGGUCGUGGGGAUAACGUAGCGAAAGCUACGCUAAUACCGCAUACGACCUACGGAUGAAAGCGGGGGAUCGCAAGACCUCGCGCGAUUGGAGCGGCCGAUAUCAGAUUAGGUAGUUGGUGAGGUAAAGGCUCACCAAGCCGACGAUCUGUAGCUGGUCUGAGAGGACGACCAGCCACACUGGGACUGAGACACGGCCCAGACUCCUACGGGAGGCAGCAGUGGGGAAUUUUGGACAAUGGGCGCAAGCCUGAUCCAGCAAUGCCGCGUGCAGGAUGAAGGCCU
This 386-nucleotide ribosomal RNA is filed under the name uncultured bacterium. RNAcentral describes it as "bacterial SSU rRNA". It matches the Rfam family "Bacterial small subunit ribosomal RNA", at positions 29 to 417 of the family's 1533-position model. The record is from RNAcentral.